UGUUAAAAUAGUUUAAUAAAAUAAUAAUUUUGUAAAUUAUAGAUACAGGAAUUGUUUUUAACAA
RNAcentral lists this transfer RNA (64 nucleotides) under Psyttalia concolor. RNAcentral describes it as "tRNA-Thr". It matches the Rfam family "tRNA". Rfam says of the family: Transfer RNA (tRNA) molecules are approximately 80 nucleotides in length. Their secondary structure includes four short double-helical elements and three loops (D, anti-codon, and T loops). Further hydrogen bonds mediate the characteristic L-shaped molecular structure. tRNAs have two regions of fundamental functional importance: the anti-codon, which is responsible for specific mRNA codon recognition, and the 3' end, to which the tRNAs corresponding amino acid is attached (by aminoacyl-tRNA synthetases). tRNAs cope with the degeneracy of the genetic code in two manners: having more than one tRNA (with a specific anti-codon) for a particular amino acid; and 'wobble' base-pairing, i.e. permitting non-standard base-pairing at the 3rd anti-codon position. The record is from RNAcentral. RNAcentral also lists the same sequence under 1 other name. Lineage: Eukaryota; Metazoa; Arthropoda; Insecta; Hymenoptera; Braconidae.